Non-coding RNA from Myotis brandtii (Brandt's bat), 74 nucleotides. Lineage: Eukaryota; Metazoa; Chordata; Mammalia; Chiroptera; Vespertilionidae. The record is from Rfam.
GGUGGUUCUUGGGUGACGCACCCUGGAAUCGGCUCCCUCUUCUCUGGUUCUGGGUCUACCACCUGAGAACUGCU